AGGUCCGAGGAACUCUGCUGGUAAUCGUUACUGCAGUGGCUGCUGCUCCACAAUUUCAGCUCCAUGACAGUAACAAGGGAACCCCAUACGAGUUCGGCUACGGCGUGAGUCAGCCCGAAACCGGAGAUGCAAAAGAACAUCGACAGUUCUUAUCUCCCUCAGGGAAAGUGGGAGGAGAAUAUCGGUGGCUUCAACCCAAUGGAUUGUAUAGGGUAACAAGGUACCACAUAGAUGAUGCAGGUGGAUACCACGCUGCAGUUACUGAAGAAGAUGGCAGCCAGGUGUCUAAUUAUUACUUCAAUGCUGUAGAUUACUCGUCAUCCUCGCAGCCUUUAAAUACUGCUCUAAAUUCAAGAACCAAACAAGGUCUAAACAAUGUGCAAUCUGCAAGGAGUAAUACAAAGGCCUUCGGUGUCUCUCAGUCCUCUAGGAACCAAGAGGACUUCAGUGUCUCUCAGUCCUCU
Penaeus vannamei (Pacific white shrimp) is the source of this 464-nucleotide non-coding RNA. Lineage: Eukaryota; Metazoa; Arthropoda; Malacostraca; Decapoda; Penaeidae. The record is from RefSeq and is a predicted model, not a curated record.